Streptomyces caeruleatus is the source of this 139-nucleotide regulatory RNA element. It matches the Rfam family "SAM riboswitch aptamer (S box leader)". Rfam says of the family: The SAM riboswitch is found upstream of a number of genes which code for proteins involved in methionine or cysteine biosynthesis in Gram-positive bacteria. The SAM riboswitch acts at the level of transcription termination control. Lineage: Bacteria; Bacillati; Actinomycetota; Actinomycetes; Kitasatosporales; Streptomycetaceae. The record is from Rfam.
CGCUCAUCCAGAGGGGCAGAGGGAUACGGCCCGAUGAAGCCCCGGCAACCCUCCAGCCGGUCUCGUUCACGCGAGGCUCCCGGCUAGGGAAGGUGCCAAAUCCGUCUCACGGCGAGAUGCGUCGUGAGGAAGAUGAGGA